UCUGAGUUAUGUGAUUGGUCCACAAGGGAAUAUUGGAGCUAGUUCAACAAUUAUUUUUUAUCCACAACUCUCUUAAUGUAGCUUACAUCAGCCAGUACUUUUCUUUUGAAGCAUGAUGUUUCCACCCACGGUGCACUUUGUUCAAUGUAGCUUUACAGUAAACCCAUUUAGUGAACACUGGCUUUGACUGUAUGAGCUGAAAACGAAGGUCCUAAUCUGUCAAUGGUCCUUAUGCAAGCAGCUGUUGAACAGAAACUUGAAGCAUGCAUGCAGACACACACAGAGUGGUCUGCCAUCUCUGCAACUUGGAUUGUGACAAUUUUCAGGGCCUAUAUAACCAGCAUGUCCAGGCAUGCAAUCACAACACACAUAGCAUGGCAUUGGAAAGCCAGAGCCUGCAUCUUUCCUCUGACAUGCAAAUACAUAACAGAAUUGAUGAAUAGGGCCUGGCGCCUAGUGUCUGACCUGACUGCAGAAAUAGGUUAUAGUACAAUUCAGUCCAAAGUUCAAAGAUACAAUUGAGCCCAUCCCAAUGACCCAAAAUCUAUGGCACAUGUUAAGUGCGUUAUACCUUUUCAGGAAAAGUUAUAACAUUUAUGUAUUUUAAACUAUUCUUGCCACAGGUGAUGGCAAAAUGAUACAACAAACAUUCUAAAAUGUGAAAAGGGCCAGCAAGCCUUAGAAGCGUGACUGUCGUCCCUCUGAACCCUUUAACGUUACACACCAGGCAUAAACAUGAAAAUGCUUAGACAAGACUUGUACAAUAAAUACAUAUGAGAUACAUGACUUGAAAUCAAUCUGACCGUUCCAUAAAUUACCAAAGACUAAAUGAAAAGAAAACACAGUAAAAUGAUUUCAUGAAAUGAAGACUGAAUAAAUAUUAAUUGACCUUCAACUGUAGUCACAUACUGCACGAAUUAGUUGUUUUUCAAGUUUUCACAUACAAGCAAAGUAAUAGAAAAUUGGUGUGGGCUGGUGUCUUGAGAUCUAAUAAUCUACUUUAUAUUACUCAGCCAAUGGUAGUGGAAUAUUGGAUCCAACAUGCAGAAUAGGUCUACAAUUGGAUGAGCAUUUUUUUAACAUCACAUCCACUUCAGUUGUAUACUACAUACCGUGCCCCAUUGGUGUGUACGAAAACUGAAAGCCUGUUAAGUGAAUAUAAGCAUGUGAAAAGCUUGUUGUUUGAGUGAAACAAGGGGACCCUCAGACAUGACCAAUCAGGAAUUGCAUGGCACCCUUCACAUUGAUUACAUUAGACAUGAUUGGAAUAGGUUCAGGGAUGUUUCUGCACUAAUACUUCAGCCUAGAUUUAAUAAAUUAUGUAAAUCAGUGGAAAAAUAUCAAACCAAAUCUCAGAGGCACUGAUGAGAAAACAGUAAUAAUUCAUUGUUCUCCAUUGUGCUUUGGAAGAUUGUUUGAGUCACUUCAUGGAGUAAGUGAAUAGGACCAUAAAGAUAACUUUGAAGAAAAUCUUUCAAUCACUGCAGUGACUGAUACCAGCAAAUGUCCAAAUGCUGGUUUUGCACAUUACCAAAGUAUGUACGCAUACAACUGAAGGGGCAUUUAAAACAAACUAAACAAAAUUAUUUUGAUAUAUAACUUCCAAUAUGGAGAUGUA
Oncorhynchus tshawytscha (Chinook salmon) is the source of this 1618-nucleotide long non-coding RNA. The record is from Ensembl. Lineage: Eukaryota; Metazoa; Chordata; Actinopteri; Salmoniformes; Salmonidae.